This 253-nucleotide ribosomal RNA is filed under the name uncultured bacterium. RNAcentral's name for it is "partial 16S ribosomal RNA". It matches the Rfam family "Bacterial small subunit ribosomal RNA", at positions 524 to 776 of the family's 1533-position model. The record is from RNAcentral.
UACGUAGGGCGCAAGCGUUGUCCGGAAUUAUUGGGCGUAAAGAGCUCGUAGGCGGCUUGUCACGUCGGGUGUGAAAGCCCGGGGCUUAACCCCGGGUCUGCAUUCGAUACGGGCUAGCUAGAGUGUGGUAGGGGAGAUCGGAAUUCCUGGUGUAGCGGUGAAAUGCGUAGAUAUCGGGAGGAACACCAGUGGCGAAGGCGACUACCUGGCCUGUUCUUGACGCUGAGGCGCGAAAGCUAGGGGAGCAAACGGG